Molecule: ribosomal RNA, 476 nt
Filed under: uncultured anaerobic ammonium-oxidizing bacterium
Lineage: Bacteria
Description: bacterial SSU rRNA
Rfam family: Bacterial small subunit ribosomal RNA
Source: RNAcentral
UUCGCAAUGCCCGAAAGGGUGACGAUGCGACGCCGCGUGAGCGAAGAAGGCCCUAGGGUUGUAAAGCUCCGUCGAGGGUUAUGAAAUAUAGAUGGGUUAAUACCCCAUUUAUUUGACAAAAGCCCAAAAGGAAGCCACGGCUAACUCUGUGCCAGCAGCCGCGGUAAUACAGAGGUGGCAAGCGUUGUUCGGUAUUAUUGGGCGUAAAGAGCACGUAGGUGGUUCUGUAAGUCAGAUGUGAAAGCCUUCUGUUCAAAGGAAGAACGGCAUCUGAAACUACAGAUCUUGAGUGUAGGAGGGGAGAGUGGAACUUCUGGUGGAGCGGUGAAAUGCGUAGAUAUCAGAAGGAACGUCGGCGGCGAAAGCGACUCUCUGGCCUAUUACUGACACUGAGGUGCGAAAGUUAGGGGAGCAAACGGGAUUAGAUACCCCGGUAGUCCUAACCGUAAACGAUGGGCACUAAGUAGAGGGGUUUU